Molecule: ribosomal RNA, 447 nt
Filed under: uncultured bacterium
Lineage: Bacteria
Description: partial 16S ribosomal RNA
Rfam family: Bacterial small subunit ribosomal RNA
Source: RNAcentral
AACGAACGCUGGCGGCAGGCCUAAUACAUGCAAGUCGAACGCCCCGCAAGGGGAGUGGCGCACGGGUGAGUAACGCGUGGGGAUGUGCCCUUGGGUACGGAACAACACCGGGAAACUGGUGCUAAAACCGUAUAAUGACUCCGGUCCAAAGAUUUAUCGCCCAAGGAUCAACCCGCGUUGGAUUAGCUAGUUGGUGAGGUAAUGGCUCACCAAGGCGACGAUCCAUAGCUGGUCUUAGAGGAUGAUCAGCCACACUGGAACUGAGACACGGUCCAGACUCCUACGGGAGGCAGCAGUAAGGAAUAUUGGACAAUGGGGGAAACCCUGAUCCAGCCAUGCCGCGUGAAUGAAGAAGGCCUUAGGGUUGUAAAGUUCUUUUAGUGGUGAAGAUAAUGACGGUAGCCACAGAAAAAGCUCCGGCUAACUCCGUGCCAGCAGCCGCCGCCG